Molecule: ribosomal RNA, 497 nt
Filed under: uncultured bacterium
Lineage: Bacteria
Description: partial 16S ribosomal RNA
Rfam family: Bacterial small subunit ribosomal RNA
Source: RNAcentral
GAUGAACGCUGGCGGCAUGCCUAAUACAUGCAAGUCGAACGAACAGACGAGGAGCUUGCUCCCCUGACGUUAUCGCCGGACGGGUGAGUAACACAUGGAUAACCUACCUCUCCGACUGGGAUAACAUCAGGAAACCAGGUCUACUACCGAAUAAUAUAUUGACCCUCAUUGUUCACUAGUUGAAUUCGCUUUUUCUUUCGCUUAUAGACUGAUCCGGGCCGCAUUAACUAGUUGGUAAAGUAACGGCUUACCAAGGCUGCGACGGGUAGCCGCCCUGAGAGGGAGGAUGGCCAGACUGGAACUGAGACACGGCCCAGACACCGACGGUGGGAAGCAGUAGGGAAUCUUACGGAAGGGGCGAAAGCGGGACGGAGCAACGCCGCGUGAGUGAUGAAGGUGCUCGGAUCGUAGAACGCUGUUAGUAGGGAAGAACAAAUGUGUAAGUACCUAGGCACGUCUUGACGGUACCUAAACAGAAAGCCCCGGCUAACUACGUG